RNAcentral lists this ribosomal RNA (440 nucleotides) under uncultured bacterium. RNAcentral describes it as "partial 16S ribosomal RNA". It matches the Rfam family "Bacterial small subunit ribosomal RNA", at positions 338 to 795 of the family's 1533-position model. The record is from RNAcentral.
CCUACGGGGAGCAGCAGUGGGGAAUAUUGCACAAUGGGGGAAACCCUGAUGCAGCGACGCCGCGUGAGUGAAGAAGUAAUUCGUUAUGUAAAGCUCUAUCAGCAGGGAAGAAAAUGACGGUACCUGAGUAAGAAGCCCCGGCUAACUACGUGCCAGCAGCCGCGGUAAUACGUAGGGGGCAAGCGUUAUCCGGAUUUACUGGGUGUAAAGGGAGCGUAGACGGUAGUGCAAGUCUGGAGUGAAAGGGGGGGGCUCAACCCCCGGACUGCAGUGGAAACUGUACGGCUGGAGUGCAGGAGAGGUAAGUGGAAUUCCUAGUGUAGCGGUGAAAUGCGUAGAUAUUAGGAGGAACACCAGUGGCGAAGGCGGCUUACUGGACUGUAACUGACGUUGAGGCUCGAAAGCGUGGGGAGCAAACAGGAUUAGAUACCCGGGUAGUC